UACGAAGGGGGCUAGCGUUGUUCGGAAUUACUGGGCGUAAAGCGCGUGUAGGCGGGUCUUUUAGUCAGGGGUGAAAUGCCAAGGCUCAACCUUGGAACUGCCUUUGAUACUGGAGACCUUGAGUCCGGGAGAGGUGAGUGGAAUUGCGAGUGUAGAGGUGAAAUUCGUAGAUAUCUGGAGGAACACCGGUGGCGAAGGCGACGUCCUGGACCGGCAUUGACGCUGAGGCGCGAAAGCCAGGGGAGCAAACAGG
This 253-nucleotide ribosomal RNA is filed under the name uncultured bacterium. RNAcentral describes it as "partial 16S ribosomal RNA". It matches the Rfam family "Bacterial small subunit ribosomal RNA", at positions 524 to 776 of the family's 1533-position model. The record is from RNAcentral.